This is a long non-coding RNA of Bufo bufo (common toad), 492 nucleotides long. RefSeq lists it as uncharacterized. The transcript is spliced from 3 exons. The record is from RefSeq and is a predicted model, not a curated record. Lineage: Eukaryota; Metazoa; Chordata; Amphibia; Anura; Bufonidae.
AUUUAAACCUUGGAUAUAUGGAAUUGUGAAAGUUACAAGCCAAUGGGGCAUGGUGCCUGAAAGGACUGUGGCCCCUUUAUUUUCAGAUUAGGUAGAUACCUCAAUGACAUAUCUGUGAAAAAGUGCACAAAUCCUAUAAUCUCCCCAAAGUAACAUGAGAAGGUGUCUGGCACCCCUGGAUUCUGUUUAGAGUUUCUGAAAGCAAACUCCAUAUUUAUUAUCCAUGUUACAGAACGAUUUAGCCAGAGUUUUGUCGGCACCAAGAUUUUAUCCCUCCAACUGGGGGUAAAAAACAAAACAAAAAACAUCUUCUAUCCUGUAAUCUGAGCUAUUCACAUUGCUGCUAUCGACUACCUACUGUGGAUGACCAGCCUUCUCCCACUCAUCCAACAGGAACUCCCAGCACAAUAUCAGUCAAGCAGCUGAAUUCCAUCCAAUAUGCAGCUUACAUAGCAAUUGCCCCUUCAGACAGCGUUCGGGUGUCCGCCUGGC